Molecule: ribosomal RNA, 301 nt
Filed under: uncultured bacterium
Lineage: Bacteria
Description: partial 16S ribosomal RNA
Rfam family: Bacterial small subunit ribosomal RNA
Source: RNAcentral
CAGUCGCCGCGGGAAUACGAAGGGUGCAAGCGUUACUCGGAAUUACUGGGCGUAAAGCGUGCGUAGGUGGUGGUUUAAGUCCGUUGUGAAAGCCCUGGGCUCAACCUGGGAAUUGCAGUGGAUACUGGGUCACUAGAGUGUGGUAGAGGAUAGUGGAAUUUCCGGUGUAGCAGUGAAAUGCGUAGAGAUCGGAAGGAACAUCUGUGGCGAAGGCGACUAUCUGGGCCAACACUGACACUGAGGCACAAAAGCGUGGGGAGCAAACAGGAUUAGAUACCCCAGUAGUCCCUGUCUCUUAUAC